Molecule: ribosomal RNA, 253 nt
Filed under: uncultured bacterium
Lineage: Bacteria
Description: partial 16S ribosomal RNA
Rfam family: Bacterial small subunit ribosomal RNA
Source: RNAcentral
UACGUAGGGUGCGAGCGUUAAUCGGAAUUACUGGGCGUAAAGAGUGCGUAGGCGGAGAUACAAGUUAGAUGUGAAAUCCCCGGGCUUAACCUGGGAAUGGCAUUUAAGACUGUAUGUCUAGAGUUAGUAAGAGGAUGGGAGAAUUCCGAGUGUAGCAGUGAAAUGCGUAGAGAUUCGGAGGAAUAUCGGUGGCGAAGGCGCCCAUCUGGGAUAUAACUGACGCUGAGGUACGAAAGCGUGGGGAGCAAACAGG